RNAcentral lists this ribosomal RNA (513 nucleotides) under uncultured Paracoccaceae bacterium. RNAcentral describes it as "bacterial SSU rRNA". It matches the Rfam family "Bacterial small subunit ribosomal RNA", at positions 538 to 1050 of the family's 1533-position model. The record is from RNAcentral. Lineage: Bacteria; Pseudomonadati; Pseudomonadota; Alphaproteobacteria; Rhodobacterales; Paracoccaceae.
GCGUUGUUCGGAAUUACUGGGCGUAAAGCGCGCGUAGGCGGACUGGAAAGUUGGGGGUGAAAUCCCGGGGCUCAACCCCGGAACUGCCUCCAAAACUAUCAGUCUAGAGUUCGAGAGAGGUGAGUGGAAUUCCGAGUGUAGAGGUGAAAUUCGUAGAUAUUCGGAGGAACACCAGUGGCGAAGGCGGCUCACUGGCUCGAUACUGACGCUGAGGUGCGAAAGUGUGGGGAGCAAACAGGAUUAGAUACCCUGGUAGUCCACACCGUAAACGAUGGAUACUAGCUGUCCGGAACCUUGAGUUCUGGGCGGCCAAGCGAAAGUGAUAAGUAUCCCACCUGGGGAGUACGUUCGCAAGAAUGAAACUCAAAGGAAUUGACGGGGGCCCGCACAAGCGGUGGAGCAUGUGGCUUAAUUCGAAGCAACGCGCAGAACCUUACCAACCCUUGACAUCCUGUGCUAUAUUUAGAGAUAGAUAGUUCCCUUCGGGGACGCAGUGACAGGUGCUGCAUGGCU